This 253-nucleotide ribosomal RNA is filed under the name uncultured bacterium. RNAcentral describes it as "partial 16S ribosomal RNA". It matches the Rfam family "Bacterial small subunit ribosomal RNA", at positions 524 to 776 of the family's 1533-position model. The record is from RNAcentral.
UACAGAGGGUGCGAGCGUUGUCCGGAAUCACUGGGCGUAAAGGGCGCGUAGGUGGCGCGACAAGUCAGUGGUGAAAGUUCGACGCUUAACGUCGAAUCGGCCACUGAUACUGUUGGGCUUGAGCACUGUAGAGGCUAAUGGAAUUCCGGGUGUAGCGGUGGAAUGCGUAGAGAUCCGGAAGAACACCGGUGGCGAAGGCGGCCAUCUGGACCGCAACUGACGCUGAGGCGCGAAAGCGUGGGGAGCAAACAGG